UACGUAGGGGGCAAGCGUUAUCCGGAUUUACUGGGUGUAAAGGGCGCGUAGGCGGAAAAUUAAGUCAGAUGUGAAAUCCCGAGGCUCAACUUCGGGACUGCAUCUGAAACUGGUUUUCUAGAGUGCAGGAGAGGAAAGCGGAAUUCUCAGUGUAGCGGUGAAAUGCGUAGAUAUUGAGAGGAACACCAGUGGCGAAGGCGGCUUUCUGGACUGUAACUGACGCUGAGGCGCGAAAGCGUGGGGAGCAAACAGG
RNAcentral lists this ribosomal RNA (253 nucleotides) under uncultured bacterium. Its description in RNAcentral is "partial 16S ribosomal RNA". It matches the Rfam family "Bacterial small subunit ribosomal RNA", at positions 524 to 776 of the family's 1533-position model. The record is from RNAcentral.